This 200-nucleotide long non-coding RNA is filed under the name Carica papaya (papaya). RNAcentral describes it as "long non-coding RNA (CPAP_LNC006059)". Lineage: Eukaryota; Viridiplantae; Streptophyta; Magnoliopsida; Brassicales; Caricaceae. The record is from RNAcentral.
GUUGUGUGGGAAGAUGAAUAGGUGAAGGCGGCAACCUUACUAGAUAUCCUAGGAGAUGGUGGACGGACCGGGUACAUAGAGAACCCUACCGCAAGCGUUGUCUCAUACCGGACGGGGUAUAGGAAUAACUUGUAAUUGAGAUUGUUAAAAGAAAGAGUUCGUAUGUAGUGGGGACAUCCCUAUGAACUCCUAUGGAUACU